CUCUUUCCUCCUUCCCCUCUCUUCCUCCUCCGUCUCCGCCCGGCUACCCCAUCCCGGGCCCCGCUCGGAUCCCCCAGCGGUCCCGCCUCCUCGCUGCCGCGCAGGCGCGGCCGCCCCCGUGGAGUCGCGCGGCGACACCGGCGUCACUGGGGAUCACGUAGUCUGAAGACUCAAGUUUGCUAAGAUGCAGAGCGGGCUGGAAUGGAUAAUCAUGCAGUGUUUGUGUACAAGUUUUGAAGACUUAGAUGGAAAGCAGGACUUGAAAUAUGCAAGAUGCUUCCUGCUCAAGUCUUCCUCCAGUUACGUGAGCUCCAGAGGAGAAUCCUGGAUUUGUACAUUUGGAAGGCAGCAGGAUCAGAACUUGACCCGUGUAAUUUGACUCCGAAGCCUGUUACAUACUCUGAAUUUCUCUUCAGUCUACUCGUCAGCAGUGCGUGGAGACAGGCCUCCAUGGACCCCGUGCUACCGCUUUCUCUCCCCACCACAGAUACUAGCUGUCAGAUAUCACCAUCCUUGCAGCUUUUUGGUCAGCUCUUCACAAUUGGCCCCCAAGAGCCAUGACAUAAGAAUAUUGAAUUUUCCUGAUGUAAGAACGUGGACUGCGGCAGGCUGGGUCUGAGUGCAGCACUUUAUCUCUGUGUGGCUUUGUUGUCCUCUCCUUGUCCAUAAUAACUUGAGCAAGCACUACCCACUAUCCUCCACUGUGUUCAGCACAAGACAUGGAUGCUUCCUGAAUGGAUGGAAAGAGAGGCAAAGAGAAGCAUGCUGGAAAAUCAG
Capra hircus (goat) is the source of this 777-nucleotide long non-coding RNA. RefSeq lists it as uncharacterized. The record is from RefSeq and is a predicted model, not a curated record. NCBI's taxonomy places the organism in Eukaryota, Metazoa, Chordata, Mammalia, Artiodactyla, Bovidae. The transcript has 6 exons.